RNAcentral lists this ribosomal RNA (254 nucleotides) under uncultured bacterium. RNAcentral describes it as "partial 16S ribosomal RNA". It matches the Rfam family "Bacterial small subunit ribosomal RNA", at positions 524 to 776 of the family's 1533-position model. The record is from RNAcentral.
UACGAAGGGGGCUAGCGUUGCUCGGAAUCACUGGGCGUAAAGCGCACGUAGGCGGCUUCUUAAGUCAGGGGUGAAAUCCUGGAGCUCAACUCCAGAACUGCCUUUGAUACUGAGGAGCUUGAGUCCGGGGAGAGGUGAGUGGAACUGCGAGUGUAGAGGUGAAAUUCGUAGAUAUUCGCAAGAACACCAGUGGCGAAGGCGGCUCACUGGCCCGAUACUGACGCUGAGGCACGAAAGCGUGGGGAGCAAACAGG